ACUGAUUCAGAACUGAAGCGCAAAGGGGGAAUCCGACUGUUUAAUUAAAACAAAGCAUUGUGAUGGCUUUUGAAUGUGUUGAUGCAAUGUGAUUUCUGCCCAGUGCUCUGAAUGUCAAGGUGAUGAAAUUCAAACAAGCGCGGGUAAACGGCGGGAGUAACUAUGACUCUCUUAAGGUAGCCAAAUGCCUCGUCAUCUAAUUAGUGACGCGCAUGAAUGGAUUAACGAGAUUCCUACUGUCCUUACUUUCAAUUUAGCGAAACCACAGCCAAGGGAACGGGCUUGGGUUGAUCAGCGGGGAAAGAAGACCCUGUUGAGCUUGACUCUAGUCUGACACUGUGAAAUGACUUAGGAGGUGUAGAAUAAGUGGGAGUGUUUUACAAUCAUGAAAUACCACUACUCUUGAUGUUAUUUUACUUAUUCUGUGAUGCUGGUGCUUGCUGUGGCAACUUGUUGUGUGAAUGUAAACUGAAGUUUGUGCACUUGUGUGGAAAACACAGUUAGGUGGGGAGUUUGGCUGGGGCG
Molecule: ribosomal RNA, 525 nt
Filed under: Ostreopsis sp.
Lineage: Eukaryota; Dinophyceae; Peridiniales; Ostreopsidaceae
Description: partial large subunit ribosomal RNA
Rfam family: Eukaryotic large subunit ribosomal RNA
Source: RNAcentral